CACGUAGGGCGCGAGCGUUGUCCGGAAUUAUUGGGCGUAAAGAGCUCGUAGGUGGUUUGUUACGUCUGCUGUGAAAACCUAGGGCUUAACCCUGGGCUUGCAGUGGAUACGGGCAGACUAGAGGUAGGUAGGGGAGAAUGGAAUUCACGGUGUAGCGGUGAAAUGCGCAGAUAUCGGGAGGAACACCGGUGGCGAAGGCGGUUCUCUGGGCAUUUCCUGACGCUGAGGAGCGAAAGCGUGGGGAGCGAACAGG
RNAcentral lists this ribosomal RNA (253 nucleotides) under uncultured bacterium. RNAcentral describes it as "partial 16S ribosomal RNA". It matches the Rfam family "Bacterial small subunit ribosomal RNA", at positions 524 to 776 of the family's 1533-position model. The record is from RNAcentral.